UAGACCUGUCCCUCGCGCACCAUAAUCUGUUUUUUUGUUGUGAGACGCGGAGGGUAGCGAAGUCAUGGGCAAGCUUCAGGAAUUCGAUAUUACUUUUACCAACAACAAAGUGGUCUACAGCCCUGGCGAAUCCAUAAGUGGAACUGUGAAAAUUACAAGUGGUAGCUCACUGCAAUAUAAGGCCAUUAAGGUGAACUGCCUGGGAUCAUGUGGGGUCUCCAACAAAAUGAACGACACGUCGUGGACACUGGAAGAGCAAUACUUCAGCAGCACACUGUCUGUAGCUGACAAAGGUACCCUGGCAGCUGGCGAGCACGGUUUCCCUUUCCAAUUUGUCAUCCCAGUGGCUGCCCCAACCUCCUUUGAAGGGCCCUUUGGGAAAAUUGUUUACCGUGUGAGAGCCGUCAUAGACACACCUCGCUUCUCCAAGGACUACAAGGCCCAGAAGCCCUUUUACCUACUCAACCUGCUCAACCUCAAUCAAGUGCCCGACAUUGAGCAACCCAGUUAUGCUGUGACCACUAAGAGGUUCAGCUAUCUCCUGGUGAAGACGGGCACCCUCAUGCUGAAGGCUUGCAGUGACCUGAGGGGAUACACACCAGGCCAGAUCAUCAGACUAGCCACUGAGAUCCACAACAAGUCAGGCAAGGACACGGGCUGCGUGCUGGCCAGUCUCAUACAGAAAGUGACUUAUAAGACCAAACGAGCUUUGUACGACCUGCGGACCAUAGCAGAGGUAGAGGGGGCGGGAGUGAAGGCGGGGAAACACGCUGAGUGGCGAGAGCAGAUCAUCGUACCGCCCCUCCCCCAGUCUGCCCUGGCCGGCUGCAGCCUCAUAGAGAUCGACUAUUUCAUCCAGGUAUCACUAAAAUCCCCUGAGACGGUUGUCACUUUACCCAUCUACAUCGGGAACAUCGCUGUCAAUUUGACCCCGUCACGAGCUAUGCCCUCAACCCCAGCCCCAACGCCCAUCAGCCCUAACACCGGCCUGGAAGGGGUUACCCCCAGCGCACCCCCAGCUGAGGAGGACCUGGAGGAGGAGUUGGGUGCAGGGGGUUCAGUCAGCGAGGAGAUCCCCACUAAGAGCCACUCCCAGCAGGACCAAUCCGGCCGGCCCCCCACCAUGUCCCCCAGUGCAUUUAGCUAUGCUCCCGGUGCAGCUUUCCCACCCAGCCAGCGACGUGCCGACGACACCUCUGCGCCUCUGUUCUGUGUGUCCACUGGGUCCACCAUCCCUUUCUUUACAGAGGGAAACGUCACCCCAGUACCCACGUCCUGUCCUCUCAUACUCCCCCCUGAGUACAGCACCUGGGACUACCCACAUGAACCCCCUCCCACCUAUGAGGAGAGCUGCAGCAGCAACAACUCCAGCUUCAACAACAGCAGGCCGUAGAGGAGAGGGGACUGAACAUAAUGCAGCUCAAAACUGCAAUUACACUCCCUAAAGGACAAAUAGGUGGCUCCGUCUUUUGAUGGGUGGAGUCGGGCUGGCCUAGCUGGACAUCAGGACCUGAGCAUGCCUACCCCCUGGUGGCCAUCAACGGAAGAGAAUGUUGCCCAUCAACAGAAGAGAAUGUUGCCCAUUGGGAAAGCUUCUGACCAUCACUAAGGGCACUAUUUAAUCUGUAAAGCUUGAAGCGUUGCAGAUUCCACGAUAGAAAUGUAGAGGUCAAUUCCCAUUGAGCUGACAUCUGCAGCGUUUACAGUGAAUGCAGUCUCCGCUAAAGCAGGAACAUGGUCUUUAAAUGUCAAGCAUGCUGUAAAGCUGCAAUGCAGAUUGAAUAGAGCCCUAAAACACUGGAACUCAAUGAUGCCUGCUAAGUAGAACAUACUCCUUCAACCUGUGAUCUACUGACCAGGGGCUUCAUAUCUUGUCACACCUCAUCUUGAAACAGACAAGCAGGACAUUGUACUCUUGGGUGUGUAGGAGUAAUUGACAUAGCAAGGAUUGAUAUGCAUUUAUGACAUCUGAUGCAAACACUUUUACCUUCCUCUUUUUUCUUUUCUUUUUUUAACCCUGGAUACAAUUUUGUACCCUGAUUUUCCCCAUGUGGCCUUAACUCCUUCUGUUCUACCUACAUUACUAUGUGGUGAUGAAGACGGUUGUCUUCAGAGUUUCUGUUGCUUUUGAAAUGGCAGUCAAUGCAGAUAACACAUUUGUUGGUGCGACAACCAACAGUGUGAAAUGUUCAAGCACAAGACAGCACUUUUUGGCAGUUUGAAACAGUGCAUGUAUAUGUUGUUGCGUGUGAAUGUGUAUGUAGUGUACCAGUUCCUGUUGGUGAUCGCCCCUCCUGUCUUUGGCAGUUGAUAACGUUGGACAGCUCAGUUUUACAACUUGACAUCAGGCAAUAUCAUCCACUGUGUGUUUAUGUUGAUUUGUAUGUCUUGUUUCUGUCUCAAUGACAGCCUCCUUUUGUAUGUCUAGGCCAACCACACUGUGGCUUAUGUUUCAUACAAUUCUGUAAUUACAAACUUUAGCACCUGCUGUGGGAAUUAAUGUAUAUAGCCAUCCCUCCUGUAAUGGCAGCCUCGUGCUGUCAAAGCCUUCAUAUACCAGAAAAUAGAUGGCAGAUGAUAUUGGGAAAUGAUCUGCGCUUUAGACCACUGCUCUAAAGUAAUAAGGCAUCAGCUCUGAAAGAACCAUAGAAAUCACACCUCUACUUUAUUUACCAUCUUCUCAGAGUUUACUCACAUCACUAACAAAUUACAUCUACUAUUGUGUGAAACAUACGAUUCCCGAAUAUAAGGCCAAGCUGCUAAAUCAAAAUGUGCAAUAUAUUGUCAACAUUUAUGGUCUUAAUUUGAGGUUAGGAUUAGGAAUACGGUUAGCAGUAUGGUUAUGGUUAAAAUAUUAUUUGAUUUUAAGAAGAGAAGUAGAUCUUCCGGCUUUGCAGCUUGACCAGAAAGUGACAUCCGAAAUAUACUAUGUAAUACACUCAUUAAACAUCACUAGACAUAAUAUUACACCUUCUACUGUGUGAAACAUACUGUGUAAUGUACAUGUCCACUGAGUUGUUGUUAAACCAAGCCUUAACUACAUGAUCCCAGUUCCCAUUAGUCUGCAUAGUCAUCAUCCUCAUCCAGGUGCUAGAGGUUUGGAAUAGGAUCUCUUUGUCUAGGAGAAUACUGGGAGUGCUUUUGUGGCCCUCCCUGUUUUAUCUACUGGUCUCCACUGGACUGAAGAUGCACUGAAAGAAUACUAAAGUAGCUGUGAAACCAGUGAGGAUUUUCCUCAAAUGUAUUUCAGCUCUGCUUGUGGACCUUGGAUCUCCUCUUUUUUAAUCCUAGAAAAAGAACAAGACAAAAAAAUGUGCAAUUCUGUUAUCUCCGUGUUUGGUACGGCAGCUUAGUUCUCAAGUCAUUUCAUGUUGCUUUUAUCAAUCCUGCCCCACUGUUUUUAUUUCUCUUCACCAAAGGUACUAUAGCUUUCUAAACUCCAUGUUUUCGUUGUACAUUCUUUCCCCUCACAAAUCGGUGAGUGGUGUACAUGUGGUUUUGUAUUUUUCUACUUGUGAACAGUUUUCUGGUGCAAAUGGUAGCCAUUUGAGAGAGAGAAAAUAUUAUGGAGAAAAAAAUGUAGCACCAUAGUCAAUCAAAAUUGUACAGUUGACCAAUAAAAUGAUAAUCUGACAUA
RNA transcript from Oncorhynchus kisutch (coho salmon), 3637 nucleotides. It is a transcript of the gene named arrestin domain containing 1b, with no coding region annotated. The transcript is spliced from 9 exons. The record is from RefSeq and is a predicted model, not a curated record. NCBI's taxonomy places the organism in Eukaryota, Metazoa, Chordata, Actinopteri, Salmoniformes, Salmonidae.